AACGAACGCUGGCGGCAGGCUUAACACAUGCAAGUCGAGCGCCCCGCAAGGGGAGCGGCAGACGGGUGAGUAACGCGUGGGAACGUACCUUUUGGUUCGGAACAACUCCGGGAAACUGGAGCUAAUACCGGAUAAGCCCUAACGGGGAAAGAUUUAUCGCCGAAAGAUCGGCCCGCGUCUGAUUAGCUAGUUGGUGAGGUAACGGCUCACCAAGGCGACAAUCAGUAGCUGGUCUGAGAGGAUGAUCAGCCACACUGGGACUGAGACACGGCCCAGACUCCUACGGGAGGCAGCAGUGGGGAAUAUUGGACAAUGGGCGCAAGCCUGAUCCAGCCAUGCCGCGUGAGUGAUGAAGGCCUUAGGGUUGUAAAGCUCUUUUGUCCGGGAAGAUAAUGACUGUACCGGAAGAAUAAGCCCCGGCUAACUUCGUG
This 431-nucleotide ribosomal RNA is filed under the name uncultured bacterium. RNAcentral describes it as "partial 16S ribosomal RNA". It matches the Rfam family "Bacterial small subunit ribosomal RNA", at positions 29 to 507 of the family's 1533-position model. The record is from RNAcentral.